AAGCAAAACACACCAUUUGACGUACCCUGUACGCGCACUUUUUUAGUAAUUGUAAUUCUUGUGUCUAAGAAGGCACUAGACUUUACUCCCGCCUUCUACAGUGCCCAUAUAUAAGGGCCGUUGCAAGAAUGAAGUAAUGAAAAGAGAGAUAUUAUUCUGUCCUUUUAAGCAAGUCCUUUUUCUCUCCUUAUUCCUUUCGACUGGUUCACCGACCUUCUCUCAUUCUGUUAGUCGUCUUCUCUAAAUUCUUAGUCCUGCUCCAUCGCCGCAACAAGAAGAGGGACAUGCGUUCUCUUUGGAUCCAACGCAUCAAUGCUGGCACCCGCCAACAUGGUGUUAGUCUUUUUUCUUUUUAACGCAUCUUGUUGGUUAAUUUUGGUAAUUUCAUGCAUGGGCUGCUGAAGGAGAACUUUCAGCUGAACAGAAAAGUCUUAUCAGAGAUAUCCAUGCACGAACCAUAUUGUUUCAAGGCCCUGGUAGGCAUUUCCCGCAACGCCUUUCCUGGAAACAGAAAUGUGGUGCAUCCUCCCAGGAAAGUGGACAUUUCUUCUGUUAAUGUGUAGUUCUUUAAUUGGGCACCUUGGUAAUUCACUCUUUUUAGAGCCCUUCAGAGCUUGUCUGAGACAAACGCUUUAAAUAGGUAGCUUUUUAUUUCCUGGGGUAGUUUAGACCUCCCUGUCUCUGGAUAUAUGGAUGAAUGAAAACAGCUAGGCAUUCUGAAGAAAUAGAAGUGAUAUCUGGCCAGUUACAUUUCA
Long non-coding RNA from Populus euphratica (Euphrates poplar), 755 nucleotides. RefSeq lists it as uncharacterized. The record is from RefSeq and is a predicted model, not a curated record. Lineage: Eukaryota; Viridiplantae; Streptophyta; Magnoliopsida; Malpighiales; Salicaceae. The transcript is spliced from 2 exons.